This 21-nucleotide non-coding RNA is filed under the name Caenorhabditis elegans. Lineage: Eukaryota; Metazoa; Nematoda; Chromadorea; Rhabditida; Rhabditidae. The record is from RNAcentral.
UUGAGAAUCUGCGAAAAGAAU